GAGUUCACAUACAUGUAUAGUAAUUUCUGAUAUCAUACUUUCCAACAGACAGUAGUGUAUAGUUAUAUUAAUAUAUAUUGUAAGUUUUGGUGUCGAUAAAAUCAUUUGAUAAUAUGUAAUAUACUGUGUAAACUUCCAUAUGUUAAAUUAAUAAUCAGAUAUAGCUGUACAAAAGUAAAAAAUAAUAGUAUGGUAAAAGGAAUUACAGGUUAAUUGCGACACGAUAUGUAUACGAACCAAUGAGAACAUGGGUUUCAGGAGAAGUAAUAAUUAUAAUUGACUGGUUUGAAUGAUGAGUUACAUUAUAUGUAUAGUGUGUGAUCAUCGAUACCGGAGUGUAAUUGCUAUAUUAAAACUGAACGAAUUUCGGUGAAUGAUCGUUGUAUCAUAGGAACGAUUUGUUCGGUUUGUAAAACUGAGAUGAUAAACUGGCGUAAUCGUGAUUAUUUGAUUAUUGUUAUUCACGUAAUCAUAAUUAGAAUAGCGGGCUAAUUAUAGGUUUCUUAUAUACGCAUGCAUUCACUGUAAAAGUCUAGCCACAUUAUGUUUAGAAAUACUUUGCAUUGGCAGAACCCACAUAACAUGAA
Molecule: long non-coding RNA, 587 nt
Organism: Diprion similis
Lineage: Eukaryota; Metazoa; Arthropoda; Insecta; Hymenoptera; Diprionidae
Exons: 3
Source: RefSeq, a predicted model, not a curated record